This 808-nucleotide ribosomal RNA is filed under the name uncultured Planctomycetota bacterium. RNAcentral describes it as "bacterial SSU rRNA". It matches the Rfam family "Bacterial small subunit ribosomal RNA", at positions 99 to 914 of the family's 1533-position model. Lineage: Bacteria; Pseudomonadati; Planctomycetota. The record is from RNAcentral.
CGAAAGGGGCAGUAAGGCGUGGGUAACCUACCUCAGGGACGGGGAUAGCCAUUCUAACGAGUGGGUAAUACCCGGCGAUCUGGCGAGGAGACAUCUUCUUGCCAGGAAAGGAAUUUCGCCUUGAGAGGGGCUCACGUAGUAUUAGCUAGUUGGUGAGGUAACGGCUCACCAAGGCCAAGAUGCUUAGCAGGUGUGAGAGCACGACCUGCGCCACUGGCACUGUGACACUGGCCAGACUCCUACGGGAGGCUGCAGUCGAGGAUCUUCGGCAAUGGGCGCAAGCCUGACCGAGCGACGCCGCGUGUGCGAUGAAGGCCUUCGGGUUGUAAAGCACUGUCGAGGGGGAGGAAAGCCCGCAAGGGUCUGACUAAUCCCUGGAGGAAGCACGGGCUAAGUUCGUGCCAGCAGCCGCGGUAAGACGAACCGUGCAAACGUUGUUCGGAUUCACUGGGCUUAAAGGGCGCGUAGGCGGGUGGUCAAGUCAGGGGUGAAAUCUUUCAGCUCAACUGGAAAACAGCUUCUGAUACUGGCCGUCUUGAGGGAGGUAGGGGCAUGUGGAACUUCCGGUGGAGCGGUGAAAUGCGUAGAUAUCGGAAGGAACGCCGGUGGCGAAAGCGACGUGCUGGACCUUUUCUGACGCUGAGGCGCGAAAGCCAGGGGAGCAAACGGGAUUAGAUACCCCGGUAGUCCUGGCCCUAAACGAUGGGUACUAGAUUGUAGACUGAACAUGGGUUUACAGUCGAAGCAAAAGUAUUAAGUACCCCGCCUGGGGAGUAUGGUCGCAAGGCUGAAACUCAAAGGAAUUGAC